Molecule: ribosomal RNA, 301 nt
Filed under: uncultured bacterium
Lineage: Bacteria
Description: partial 16S ribosomal RNA
Rfam family: Bacterial small subunit ribosomal RNA
Source: RNAcentral
CAGUCGCCGCGGUAAAACGGAGGGUGCAAGCGUUAAUCGGAAUUACUGGGCGUAAAGCGCACGCAGGCGGUUUGUUAAGUCAGAUGUGAAAUCCCCGGGCUCAACCUGGGAACUGCAUCUGAUACUGGCAAGCUUGAGUCUCGUAGAGGGGGGUAGAAUUCCAGGUGUAGCGGUGAAAUGCGUAGAGAUCUGGAGGAAUACCGGUGGCGAAGGCGGCCCCCUGGACGAAGACUGACGCUCAGGUGCGAAAGCGUGGGGAGCAAACAGGAUUAGAUACCCCUGUAGUCCCUGUCUCUUAUAC